UCCUUAACCCACUGAGUGAGGCCAGGAAUCAAACCGGCAUCCUCAGAAAGACUUACGUAAGGUUCUUAACCCGCUGAGUCACAACAGGAACUCCCCUAAUUUUUUUUUUUUAAAGCAAUAUCAUAAGAACACUGUUUCUCCCAAGAGAAAGGGAAGGAGACAGUUACUACAUGCUGUGUUAAGUGUGAAAUUUCACUUUCAGGAUCCAGAAUUCUGGUACCUACUGAAGCAUCCAUUCUUUCCUAACAUGUAACACGCUAAUAAAGUCUCUCUGGAAGAAGAGUUCUCUUGGGAAUCAAGGGUACCCAGCGUUUCUGUAUCUGUCAGUGAUUUUUAAAGUUCCCAUUCUGUCAGACUGCAGUUGGAUGAAGCGGACACUUGGCAGCUGAAAUUAAACAAGGUCACCCAUCCCCUUACAGACCAGGAACCAAGCUUAGAAAGUGACCUGGUGGGGAGGGGUCACUUUUGCAUGUAUGAGAUUUAUAAAGCUGAAGUAUGCCUGCCUCAGCUUUGGUUGAUCAGUAAUCCAGACCAUAGAUAGUAAUCCCGACUGGCUAUAGCUUAGCCAGUUAGUUUGGAUCAACCAAACCUGGAUGUAUACAGAGGCCCAGCAAGUAACCAAGAUAUGUUAGUUGGGAAGGCUGAGAGCAAUUUCAGGGGUGAGGCCUUUGGCAAACUUAGGCAAAACAGGUCUUCUUAGCCAGACCUUUGGCCCACACUUGUCCUGGAAAUCAUAGGGACUGCCUUGUCACUGUCCCUACCUGCUCAGAGUCUCUCUCAUGGGCUAGCUCAUGUGAGAAAACCCACAUUGGGUGAAACACCAGAAGCCAGAUGUCAGGAGUUGCCUGGUGCUGCCAUUGUAUGCCUGAGAGACACCCUCGGGGGGCCUUGAUUUUCUCAUCAGUAAUGAGGGGACUGGACUGCUCCACUUCUAAGGACCUGUAGCUUCUGGCAUUCCAGGAAAAGAAAGGAGGCUGUGCAGAAUGCUUGGUGAGGCCCUCUGCCUGCCAGCUACUUUGAGUAGGUCACCUUUCAUAAGUUUGCCUUUCUUUCUCUCAGGUGAGGAAACAAGUGCCUGUGGAAAGGCUACGUGUUAAAUGACUUGUCAAGAUCACACCAUGGGCCGGCAUAUAAACCCACAUCCCGUAGGCACACACCCUUUGUACUUCUCACUACGUAGGGAUUUUCAAUCUGAGGUUACACUCCAAGGCCCCAGAUCAUAACUUGGGGUUGAUACCAGUAACGAGAUCAUCCAACUGCCUGAGUUCACUGGAUGGACACAUCCCAAUGAGACAGCAUUCAUGCUCGCUCUAAAAUUCUUUGGCAGGAAUCCUGUAGGGCUUGUGGGUGAGAAGAUGAGGGGUGGGGCCUACAAACCUCAUAUGUGGGGGGAUUUCAUCACAGCUCUGCACUGCUUAUGCUUCAUUUGACCCCAGAAUGGAUGUGUUGCCAAAUGGCUUCCUUCCGUAGGUGUGAGGUCACAUAAUUAAAGGCUAGAGUGCUGCCAGCACCUUGGCUAGAGGGUACCGAGUGCACUGUUAGCCCAGGUCUCCUUUGAAAAAAAAAGGAUCUAUCAGAGUGCUCUCUUCCCCCUGUAGUAUUUUUAGUCCAUUCUAUGUCUUGUUCCACACCUAAGGGGUUUUGACAUCCUGUUCCCUUAUCUCAAACCCCCCACCACCUCAGGGGGGGCCGGGUGUAGAAGGAGAAGUGAAGGCUGACACAUUUGUGCCCCCACUCAGCAGUGUGUUUAAUAUCAGCCACAUAUUUCUUUCCACAGUUGGGCAAAGCUCAAACACUCCAGCCCACUUACACUCUUGAGACAUUUUCUUUCCACUCUUUGUCUACUCUACAGACAAGUUUCUAGCAGCAUUAUCUCCAAAUAAUUAUUGAACUAGAAAGCCUCAGACAGAUUAGUCUUCCCCGCAUUUGGGUUGUGACAAUGUUGUUUGUAUUCCUUAAAAAACAAACAAGUCAGAUAACCCAAGUGAAAGGCAAAAGCUCCUCGCUAUGGAUUCAUCCAGUCCAAGGGGGACAAACUCUAAAUACCAGCAGGGACAAAUAAUGCAAGGGAGAGAGGCAUCUGUCAUGUGACCUCAGGGUUUGGAUGACCUCAGGGGCCAUGGAAAUGGCUGGGAAUUGGACAACACAUGCCACCUCCAAAGAGGGCAACUCUUGCACAGUGCUGGCUGAUUGGUAGAGGUGCAAUAGUAGAUGCAGCCAUGCCAGACCUUUAGAUUUUUUUUUUUUUCAAGAAAAGCCAGAAACCUGGAUUUUUUGAAUGUUAAAUAUCUCAUUUUUUUUUUUUUAACAUUGGCCACAUUCAAAUGUAAAAAUAGCACUUGCAGGCCAAGCCAACCGUUUCUGCAGACCAAAUUCCAGCUGCCAGUGUGUAUGUACCCUCUGAUCUGGUUCUUUCAGAAAGCAUCCAUUGAGCCUGGAAGUUCUCAUUUAACUCUGAGCAUACGUGAACUUUGGAACUCUGAUAGGUCCCAACUGUUAAAGCUUAUUCUCUUUUCAUCUUUGUUUUGGCAGGGAGAAUACUAACAUUCUGGCCUUUGGGAGACCAGAACUGUUGUCCUAGUGACUGGAUGUUUGACUUUGUGGUCAUACACUGCAUUUGGCCAUCAGUGUGCAUUCUGUGAUGAUUACAGCGUAUUUAGAUGGAAAGAAAGUGCAGUUUGUUUCUUGGAUUUGAUUCGAAAGUUUAUAAGCAUCAACAACAAAAUAUCUACCGUGCUUUGUUUAUAAGCAUCAACAACAAAAUCUCUACUGUGCUUUGUUUUUCCGGAGACCUUCUCCUUUGAGGUGCUGGCAGGUAUUUUGCUAAUACACUUCCCUGUUUCCUAGGAGGUAAGCAGGUGGAGGCAGGGUGGUUAGCUCAGUCCCAGGGGGGGACCUGCUUCUGUUCCUGGCGCCUCCAUUGUCCUGGACUGUUGAUUGUUGGUGAUGAGCAGGUCGUCCUGAAUUGCGUGGACUCAAAUUUAAUUAAACAGGUUAAAAGACUUGUUCUAAACCUGUCACAGGAUCCAUGUCCUUCACUAGCACCCAGGCUAAGAAUUCAUAAUAUACUCAUUCCAUAAACAAAUAUAAUGUCUGUGUUUCUUAGGUAAAUAACAGGUGUCUAGUGUUUGACUAUGAUUUUGACGUACCUUGUCAUGUGUAUUUGUGUGUCGGGGGUUUCUCUGCCAAAAAGGGUAAAACCUUGUCUAAAUUCCAGCUUAAAUAAAACAACCUUCAAACUCCAUAUCCGGGAAAAGAAUUGGCACUGUUUACUGCUUUCUGCAAAGACUUCAUAAUGAGGCACCGGGUCACACAUUGCCUUUUCACAGCAGAACAUGUUUGCACAAGGACCUUUGAGCCAUUGCAACGUGAAAAGUUUCUAAAGAGAGGUCAGAAGUGUUAUUUCAACAUGGCUUUGUUUCUCACUCUGCUGGGCAAUCUCCCCUGCCCAUACAUUCCUCUUUAGCUUUGGGCUCCUGUGUGUGGUCGUGUCUCCCCUGCCCCCACCCCUCCCUUAAAGAGCUUUACUUAAAGCAAAUCCCACCUCAGCCCCCAGGGGGGAUGAGCAGCUAUUUCCCAGCGGAGAAAUCUCAUUUAUAACCGUGGACAUGUCUCAGGACGCAGGCAGCCCUUUGCAAAGCAGCCCAGGUGCUUCAUCUCAGGAACGAGAGUGCACAGCGAAGAACAGGGCGUCUCCUGGAAAGUGGGCAUCUUUUGAACCCUCUGUUUGAUGGGCAGGCCCCAGCCAGAGUGUGAGAAGUGAAACCUUAGGACUUUCUUGCCAGAUGCUAGAGAAGGCUGGGAGGGCCUAAUUACUGGUUACUUGUUUGUAAGGUGCUGCCAACCCAUUCCUUAGGGAGAGCUGCU
Molecule: non-coding RNA, 3867 nt
Organism: Sus scrofa (pig)
Lineage: Eukaryota; Metazoa; Chordata; Mammalia; Artiodactyla; Suidae
Source: RefSeq, a predicted model, not a curated record